This 429-nucleotide ribosomal RNA is filed under the name bacterium. RNAcentral describes it as "partial 16S ribosomal RNA". It matches the Rfam family "Bacterial small subunit ribosomal RNA", at positions 355 to 776 of the family's 1533-position model. The record is from RNAcentral.
UAGGGAAUCUUCCACAAUGGACGCAAGUCUGAUGGAGCAACGCCGCGUGAGUGAAGAAGGUUUUCGGAUCGUAAAGCUCUGUUGUUGGUGAAGAAGGAUAGAGGUAGUAACUGGCCUUUAUUUGACGGUAAUCAACCAGAAAGUCACGGCUAACUACGUGCCAGCAGCCGCGGUAAUACGUAGGUGGCAAGCGUUGUCCGGAUUUAUUGGGCGUAAAGCGAGCGCAGGCGGAAGAAUAAGUCUGAUGUGAAAGCCCUCGGCUCAACCGAGGAACUGCAUCGGAAACUGUUUUUCUUGAGUGCAGAAGAGGAGAGUGGAAUUCCAUGUGUAGCGGUGGAAUGCGUAGAUAUAUGGAAGAACACCAGUGGCGAAGGCGACUCUCUGGUCUGCAACUGACGCUGAGGCUCGAAAGCAUGGGUAGCGAACAGG